GUCUACAACCAUACCACCCUGAAUGCACCCAAUCUCUUCUAACCUCAGAAGCUAAGCAGGGUCAGGCCUGGUUAGUACUUGGAUGGGAGAAGUAGAGGAGCAUCCCUUCAUUGGUUACCGGAGUUAAAUA
This is a ribosomal RNA of Panthera pardus (leopard), 130 nucleotides long. NCBI's taxonomy places the organism in Eukaryota, Metazoa, Chordata, Mammalia, Carnivora, Felidae. The record is from Ensembl.